UACGUAGGGGGCAAGCGUUGUCCGGAAUUAUUGGGCGUAAAGAGCGUGUAGGCGGUCCGGUAAGUCAGCUGUGAAAGUCAAGGGCUCAACCCUUGAAUGCCGGUUGAUACUGUCGGGCUAGAGUCCGGAAGAGGCAAGUGGAAUUCCUGGUGUAGCGGUGGAAUGCGCAGAUAUCAGGAGGAACACCUAUAGCGAAGGCAGCUUGCUGGGACGUUACUGACGCUAAGGCGCGAAAGCGUGGGGAGCGAACAGG
Molecule: ribosomal RNA, 253 nt
Filed under: uncultured bacterium
Lineage: Bacteria
Description: partial 16S ribosomal RNA
Rfam family: Bacterial small subunit ribosomal RNA
Source: RNAcentral